This 495-nucleotide ribosomal RNA is filed under the name uncultured bacterium. RNAcentral describes it as "partial 16S ribosomal RNA". It matches the Rfam family "Bacterial small subunit ribosomal RNA", at positions 28 to 507 of the family's 1533-position model. The record is from RNAcentral.
GGCGAACGCUGGCGGCGUGCCUAAUACAUGCAAGUAGAACGCUGAAGGCGGAGCUUGCUUCUCUGGACGAGUGGCGAACGGGUGAGUAACGCGUAGGUAACCUGCCUGGUAGCGGGGGAUAACUUUUGGAAACGAGAGCUAAUACCGCAUAAGAGCAGAUGUUGCAUGACAUUUGCUGGAAAGUUGCAAUUGCAUCACUAGCAGAUGGAGCUGCGUUGUAUGAGGUAGGUGGUGGGGUUACGGCUCACGAAGGCGAGGAUACAUAGCGGGCCUGAGAGGGGGAUCGGCCACCCUGGGACUGAGACACGGCCCAGACUCCUACGGGAGGCAGCAGUAGGGAAUCUUCGGCAAUGGACGGAAGUCUGACCGAGCAACGCGGAGUGAGUGAAGAAGGUUUUCGGAUCGGAAAGCUCUGUUGUAAGAGAAGAACGAGUGUGAGAGUGGAAAGUUCACACUGUGACGGUAUCUUACCAGAAAGGGACGGCUAACUACGUG